This 148-nucleotide small RNA is filed under the name Macaca fascicularis (crab-eating macaque). RNAcentral describes it as "Metazoan signal recognition particle RNA (ENSMFAG00000050045.1)". The record is from Rfam by way of RNAcentral. Lineage: Eukaryota; Metazoa; Chordata; Mammalia; Primates; Cercopithecidae.
GCCGGGCAUGAUGGCGGGUGCCUGUAAUCCCAGCUACUCGGGAGGCUGAGGUGGGAGAAUCGCUUGAACCCAGGAGUUGGAGGUUGCAGUGAGCCGAGAUCAUGCCAUUGCACUCCAGCUUGGGUGACAGAGUGAGACCCCAUCUCAA